GUUUUGGACAUUUCUGAUGACAUAUGCAUAUACACUCUCUAAUAUUUAAUCACUACAAACAGUGAAGUCUCUGCCUGAGCUCCUCUUAUGGAUGUAAACAUCUGUCUGUGGAGGAGAAUCCCUCCUCUAACAGGAUGAAAGUGUAAAAAAAAGACAGUUCUGUGUAUUUUACAUAUGGAUAGACUACCACUGCUGCCGUUUGAGAAAGGAAUAACAAGGGGUUCCUCAUUGUCAGAAGUCAGUCUGUUUAGCUACGUUAGCUAAUGAGCUCUUCCAAGUGAUGGGUCGUUAAUUUCUGUGUGUACAGUAGUUCACAUUCUGGUUAGAUUAGCGCUGUAUCUGAAGUCAUAAAUCUAAUCUAAAUGGGUCCAUUGUCAGGUAAACAGUAGCAACAGUUUAAAUUAGUCUUCAUUGGCUGUAUGCUGCUGCCGAUGUAAGGCUAGUGGGUGAAAAAUAGUUUUAUUUUAUGUGUAUGAGCUUUCUUUCUUUCUAACCCAAGUUCAUCUUUUUGUCACUUAGUGUAUCCAGCUGAACAACAACCAGCCUGGUAAUAACUGGCAGGUAGUGGGUAAAAGAAAAAGUCCUGUUUUACCUUCCAUGUGUCCAAGAACUAUGAAUUACAGCCAAUCAACAUCCAAUUACAGCACAUCUAUAGAUAUUAAUUUGGGUCCUCUAAUGGAAGUGUAUGCUAUUUAGCUGUUUGUUUUUCAGUAUUAAAGUUCUGUUUUACCUUUACUUCUUCAGAAAGAUCAUCCGACAGCUGUGAUGUUCUGCCAUUUUAACUGUUCUUCCUUAUACUCCUAUACCUUACCCUUCGUCUGAAAAACAAAUAGAUAAAUAGCAUCAAAAGAUGACAGAAUUCCCCUAAUUGAACUAAGUAUGAGUUUGUUCGGUUGUUAAGUUCAGAUAUAAAAAGUCUUACUCCACCUUUAUCAUAUACAUCUGAGAUCUUCAACAAUGGAACAAGUGCCAUUCUAGUUUGGCAACAUCCAAGAGGGAACAAUAAGAAUCCAUGAAAUAUGAGGAAAUGUCAAAUGUGAACGCUAAAUGUAAACGGUGAAAUGCAGAGUCGUUACGUAUGAAUGUAACCCUGAUCCCUAACUCUACUUUAUUAGAUGUUUUAAUGUGUUUUCCUCUUUCCAGGCAACAACUGGCAUCCAUUUCUUUCCCUUAAAUAUGAAAAUCCAUUUGCAGUGUUGAGGUUUGUCCAACAUUG
This is a long non-coding RNA of Sphaeramia orbicularis (orbiculate cardinalfish), 1216 nucleotides long. RefSeq lists it as uncharacterized. The record is from RefSeq and is a predicted model, not a curated record. NCBI's taxonomy places the organism in Eukaryota, Metazoa, Chordata, Actinopteri, Kurtiformes, Apogonidae. The transcript has 2 exons.